UUUCCCAGGUGACUACCAAUUCUUCUCUUAAUAAUAGAUUUUAGUGGCUAUUUUUAUGGGAUAAAUGAAAAUUGCCAUCAUCUGAAGAGGGAGGAUUUUGUAUGUGUGUACAGCCAUAUGAAAUGAUUGGACAGAAAACU
This 140-nucleotide small nucleolar RNA is filed under the name Dasypus novemcinctus (nine-banded armadillo). Its description in RNAcentral is "Small nucleolar RNA SNORA29 (ENSDNOG00000029182.1)". It matches the Rfam family "Small nucleolar RNA SNORA29". From Rfam's summary of the family: ACA29 is a member of the H/ACA class of snoRNA that guide the sites of modification of uridines to pseudouridines. Lineage: Eukaryota; Metazoa; Chordata; Mammalia; Cingulata; Dasypodidae. The record is from RNAcentral.